Molecule: ribosomal RNA, 433 nt
Filed under: uncultured bacterium
Lineage: Bacteria
Description: partial 16S ribosomal RNA
Rfam family: Bacterial small subunit ribosomal RNA
Source: RNAcentral
GACGAACGCUGGCGGCAUGCCUAACACAUGCAAGUCGAACGAGAAGGUCGGGCCUAGGGGCGCACGGGUGCGUAACGAGUGGGAACCAGCACUUGGGUUCGGAAUCACUGCCCGAGAGGGGUCUUAAUACCGGUUGAUGUCUUAGGACCUAAGAUUUAUCGCUUUUGGAUGGGCGCGCGUUGGAUUAGCCGGUUGGUAGGGUAAAAGCCUACCAACGGGACGAUGCAUAGCUGGUCGGAGAGGAUGACCAGCCACGCUGGGACUGAGACACGGACCAGACCCCUAGGGAAGGGAGCAGUGUGGAAUAUUAGACGAGGGGCGAAAGCCUAAUCCAGCAAUGCCGCGUGAGAGAGGAAGGCCUUAGGAUUGUAAAGCUCUUUUUCCCGGGAUGAUAGUGACGGUAACGGGUGAAUAAGCUCCGGCUAACUCCGUG